UCCCAGCCGGGAGAGUGCGCGCGGGCUAAAGCAGCCCCCGCGACCCUCUCCCGGCUGGGGAGGUGAUGCGCGGCUAUAGAGGCUCCUGCCAUAGCCGCGCGUCACCUCUCUAGCCGGGAGAGGGUCGCGGGCCAUGGCUCUUUAGCCCCCGUGACCCUCUCCCGGCUGGAGA
This is a non-coding RNA of Podarcis lilfordi (Lilford's wall lizard), 172 nucleotides long. NCBI's taxonomy places the organism in Eukaryota, Metazoa, Chordata, Lepidosauria, Squamata, Lacertidae. The record is from the annotation of a GenBank genome assembly.